GCCCUCGUGGAUGAAAGUACAUCACCCGUUCAGUAUCAUCGUUUCACGUCUUGAGUAGAUGCAAAUGGGCAGUGGGGGUUCGAGUCCCCCCGAGGGCA
Mycena rebaudengoi is the source of this 98-nucleotide non-coding RNA. The record is from the annotation of a GenBank genome assembly. NCBI's taxonomy places the organism in Eukaryota, Fungi, Basidiomycota, Agaricomycetes, Agaricales, Mycenaceae.